ACCGCUCAAGGUCCGUUCGCAUAAAUCGUCUGGCAGGGGCGGGGGAACCACUUCUGGUCUUCGUGAGAAGGCCUUGGGGUUAAGUCGCAAAGCUUCUCUUGAAGCAGCGCGGCCGGAUGACUCCCAUCCGAAUCCGACAGCUCACCUCGCAGGCAUUGGGAGAGGCUAC
Molecule: small RNA, 169 nt
Filed under: Arthrobacter sp. 9V
Lineage: Bacteria; Bacillati; Actinomycetota; Actinomycetes; Micrococcales; Micrococcaceae
Description: ydaO-yuaA
Rfam family: c-di-AMP riboswitch aptamer (ydaO/yuaA leader)
About the family: This family represents a conserved RNA structure found upstream of the ydaO and yuaA genes in Bacillus subtilis and related genes in other bacteria. The ydaO/yuaA element is thought to act as a genetic "off" switch for the ydaO and yuaA genes in its native state. It is believed that the element may be triggered during osmotic shock leading to activation of ydaO, a predicted amino acid transporter gene, and members of the yuaA-yubG operon which code for KtrA and KtrB K+ transporters.
Source: RNAcentral